Molecule: ribosomal RNA, 253 nt
Filed under: uncultured bacterium
Lineage: Bacteria
Description: partial 16S ribosomal RNA
Rfam family: Bacterial small subunit ribosomal RNA
Source: RNAcentral
UACGUAGGUGGCAAGCGUUGUCCGGAUUUACUGGGCGUAAAGAGCGCGCAGGCGGUCGUGCAAGUCGCGUGUGAAAGCCCCCGGCUCAACUGGGGAGGGUCACGCGAUACUGCUCGACUCGAAGGCAGGAGAGGGAAGUGGAAUUCCCGGUGUAGUGGUGAAAUGCGUAGAUAUUGGGAGGAACACCAGCGGCGAAGGCGGCACUCUGGGCUGGUACUGACGCUGAGGAGCGAAAGCGUGGGUAGCGAACAGG